Molecule: small nucleolar RNA, 100 nt
Organism: Leptonychotes weddellii (Weddell seal)
Lineage: Eukaryota; Metazoa; Chordata; Mammalia; Carnivora; Phocidae
Product: small nucleolar RNA U13
Source: RefSeq, a predicted model, not a curated record
AUCCUUUUGUACUUCAUUACUGUGAUGAUUGAGUGUUCAUACUGUUGUGACAUGUACCUCCCUUAAACUGUUACAACCUUGGCACACGACCCGCCUAAGA